Molecule: ribosomal RNA, 425 nt
Filed under: uncultured bacterium
Lineage: Bacteria
Description: bacterial SSU rRNA
Rfam family: Bacterial small subunit ribosomal RNA
Source: RNAcentral
GUGGGGAAUAUUGCACAAUGGGGGAAACCCUGAUGCAGCGACGCCGCGUGAGCGAAGAAGUAUUUCGGUAUGUAAAGCUCUAUCAGCAGGGAAGAAAAUGACGGUACCUGACUAAGAAGCACCGGCUAAAUACGUGCCAGCAGCCGCGGUAAUACGUAUGGUGCAAGCGUUAUCCGGAUUUACUGGGUGUAAAGGGAGCGUAGACGGCGCAGCAAGUCUGAUGUGAAAGGCAGGGGCUUAACCCCUGGACUGCAUUGGAAACUGCUGUGCUUGAGUGCCGGAGGGGUAAGCGGAAUUCCUAGUGUAGCGGUGAAAUGCGUAGAUAUUAGGAGGAACACCAGUGGCGAAGGCGGCUUACUGGACGGUAACUGACGUUGAGGCUCGAAAGCGUGGGGAGCAAACAGGAUUAGAUACCCCAGUAGUCC